UAACACCCGUGGAAUGGCGUUUCCACUCGUACAAACCGCCAGCUCCAGCUGACUGAUGACGCCUGAUUGAAA
RNAcentral lists this non-coding RNA (72 nucleotides) under Thermoplasma volcanium GSS1. RNAcentral describes it as "crcB RNA". It matches the Rfam family "Fluoride riboswitch aptamer (crcB RNA motif)". Lineage: Archaea; Methanobacteriati; Thermoplasmatota; Thermoplasmata; Thermoplasmatales; Thermoplasmataceae. The record is from RNAcentral.